Sander lucioperca (pikeperch) is the source of this 214-nucleotide long non-coding RNA. RefSeq lists it as uncharacterized. NCBI's taxonomy places the organism in Eukaryota, Metazoa, Chordata, Actinopteri, Perciformes, Percidae. The record is from RefSeq and is a predicted model, not a curated record. The transcript has 3 exons.
AUAUGGGCUGUGGCAAUAAUUUUGAAAAAUAAUAGCUCACAGCAACAUAUGGAAAAAAAGAACUAUGAACUAGUUCAUUUUUGGAACUGUGAACUUAGUUCAAAAUUUUGAAGUGAACUAUGAACUGAACUAGUUAAUUUUAAAAUUUGUGAACUGAACUUUGAACUAGUUCAUGUAGAAAGUGAACUUUCCCAACACUGUAAACCAGACAGAG